RNAcentral lists this ribosomal RNA (278 nucleotides) under uncultured Burkholderiales bacterium. RNAcentral describes it as "partial 16S ribosomal RNA". It matches the Rfam family "Bacterial small subunit ribosomal RNA", at positions 505 to 782 of the family's 1533-position model. Lineage: Bacteria; Pseudomonadati; Pseudomonadota; Betaproteobacteria; Burkholderiales. The record is from RNAcentral.
GUGCCAGCAGCCGCGGUAAUACGUAGGGUGCGAGCGUUAAUCGGAAUUACUGGGCGUAAAGCGUGCGCAGGCGGUUAUAUAAGACAGUUGCGAAAUCCCCGGGCUUAACCUGGGAAUGGCGCUUGUGACUGCACGACUGGAGUGCGGCAGAGGGGGAUGGAAUUCCGCGUGUAGCAGUGAAAUGCGUAGAUAUGCGGAGGAACACCGAUGGCGAAGGCAGUCCCCUGGGCCUGCACUGACGCUCAUGCACGAAAGCGUGGGGAGCAAACAGGAUUAGA